GUGUUGCUCAGUGGUGAAGUGCUUGCCUCACAUGCAACAGGCUCUGGGUUUGAUUCCCAGCAC
RNAcentral lists this transfer RNA (63 nucleotides) under Ictidomys tridecemlineatus (thirteen-lined ground squirrel). Its description in RNAcentral is "Spermophilus tridecemlineatus (thirteen-lined ground squirrel) tRNA". It matches the Rfam family "tRNA", at positions 5 to 66 of the family's 71-position model. From Rfam's summary of the family: Transfer RNA (tRNA) molecules are approximately 80 nucleotides in length. Their secondary structure includes four short double-helical elements and three loops (D, anti-codon, and T loops). The record is from Rfam by way of RNAcentral. Lineage: Eukaryota; Metazoa; Chordata; Mammalia; Rodentia; Sciuridae.